This 300-nucleotide ribosomal RNA is filed under the name uncultured Undibacterium sp. RNAcentral's name for it is "partial 16S ribosomal RNA". The stretch from base 59 to 300 matches the Rfam family "Bacterial small subunit ribosomal RNA", at positions 554 to 795 of the family's 1533-position model. The record is from RNAcentral. Lineage: Bacteria; Pseudomonadati; Pseudomonadota; Betaproteobacteria; Burkholderiales; Oxalobacteraceae.
GUGAAUGUGGGGUCGGUGUGCGCGGUAGUUCGGAGUGGUGACGUGUGGUUGGGGAGUCUUGGGCGGAAAGGGGGCGUGGUCGGUGCGGUAAGUCUGCAGUGAAAUGGUUGCGCUCAACUCAGAGUCUGCUGUAGAAACUGCCGUGCGUGAGUGUGGGAGAGGUGAGUGGAAUUCCCGGUGUAGCGGUGAAAGGCGUAGAUAUCGGGAGGAACACCUGUGGCGAAAGCGGCUCACUGGACCACAACUGACGCUGAGGCGCGAAAGCUAGGGGAGCAAACAGGAUUAGAUACCCGUGUAGUC